This 261-nucleotide long non-coding RNA is filed under the name Setaria viridis. RNAcentral's name for it is "long non-coding RNA (SVIR_LNC007438)". Lineage: Eukaryota; Viridiplantae; Streptophyta; Magnoliopsida; Poales; Poaceae. The record is from RNAcentral.
AUAAGGUGGAGGUCAGCCCACGAAGCGCGGGGUAGCUAACCUAGUACGAAUUGUGCUUGUAGAUAUUUGUUUUCUGUUUGAAUUAGAGAUAGAAUUUUAGUCGGUUAAGAAGUUAUCUGUACGGGGCUAUAAAUAGCUACCUUUGUAAAUCUGUAAACACAACAAUCAAUCAAUACAACAAGUUACUUUCUUCUUCGUACUUACUUUCGAGCAGGCGACUUCGCCGUUAUUGUUUCUUCUCACGAGUUCGUGCGGGUUGGC